UUUUUAUCCAGCCAACAUGAGCUCAUUUCUCAUGCUGGGUGGAAUGUAAGCCUCACAAGUGCAAAAGCAGAGAUCCAAUUCUUUCACAUCCUUAGAGAUUGUCUCAUAAACCAAGGUUUUGUAUAGAGCUCCAAGAGCUGCCUAACACUGAAGGCUUAGCUCUGCAGAGAAAUACACAAAAAAUUUGAAUUUUCAGACAAAAACCGAAAAUAAAAAACCCCUGUGUUAAAAGAAGAUGGAGUUUUGAAAGUUACAUGAAAUUUAAAAGUUUGAAAUUUUAUAGGAAAUUUUAAAAUAUUGAAGGCAAUGUUACUAAUUUAAAGCUUUGGGGGAUGAAUAGCUAAAAUGUCAAAGGUAAGUAAGUUUUUUACAUAUUGUAGCAUAUUUGUAUUCUUUUGAAAUGACUUCUAAAAAUGUUUUAAAUCAAAGUUUGACCAACAUCAGGUCAUUUGAAUGCCCAUGUCUAAAAACAAGCCUCACUCACAGUUUGGCU
Molecule: long non-coding RNA, 493 nt
Filed under: Bos taurus (domestic cattle)
Lineage: Eukaryota; Metazoa; Chordata; Mammalia; Artiodactyla; Bovidae
Description: long non-coding RNA NONBTAT015887
Source: RNAcentral